This 495-nucleotide ribosomal RNA is filed under the name uncultured bacterium. Its description in RNAcentral is "partial 16S ribosomal RNA". It matches the Rfam family "Bacterial small subunit ribosomal RNA", at positions 28 to 507 of the family's 1533-position model. The record is from RNAcentral.
GACGAACGCUGGCGGCGUGCCUAAUACAUGCAAGUCGAACGCUGAAGGAGGAGCUUGCUCUUCUGGAUGAGUUGCGAACGGGUGAGUAACGCGUAGGUAACCUGCCUGGUAGCGGGGGAUAACUAUUGGAAACGAUAGCUAAUACCGCAUAACAGUAGAUGUUGCAUGACAUUUACUUAAAAGGUGCACUUGCAUCACUACCAGAUGGACCUGCGUUGUAUUAGCUAGUUGGUGGGGUAACGGCUCACCAAGGCGACGAUACAUAGCCGACCUGAGAGGGUGAUCGGCCACACUUGGACUGAGACACGGCCCAGACUCCUACGGGAGGCAGCAGUAGGGAAUCUUCGGCAAUGGACGGAAGCCUGACCGAGCAACGCCGCGUGAGUGAAGAAGGGUUUCGGAUCGUAAAGCUCUGUUGUAAGAGAAGAACGAGUGUGAGAGUGGAAAGUUCACACUGUGACGGUAUCUUACCAGAAAGAGACGGCUAACUACGUG